AGAGUUUGAUCAUGGCUCAGGAUAAACGCUGGCGGCGCACAUAAGACAUGCAAGUCGAACGGAAGCCGUUUUAAUUGAAGAGAAGAUUUAUCGGAUUGGAAAUUAAAACAAUGACUUUAGUGGCGGACUGGUGAGUAACGCGUGAGCAACCUGCCUAUUAGAGGGGAAUAACAGUGAGAAAUCAUUGCUAAUACCGCAUAAGCUAGUAAUGCUGCAUGGCAUAGCUAGAAAAGGAGUAAUCCGCUAAUAGAUGGGCUCGCGUCCGAUUAGCUAGUUGGUGGGGUAAAGGCUUACCAAGGCGACGAUCGGUAGCCGAGCUGAGAGGCUCUACGGCCACAUUGGGACUGAGAUACGGCCCAGACUCCUACGGGAGGCAGCAGUCGGGAAUAUUGCGCAAUGGAGGAAACUCUGACGCAGUGACGCCGCGUAUAGGAAGAAGGUUUUAGGAUUGUAAACUAUUUUAGACAGGGAAGAAAGAAGACAGUACCUGUAGAAUAAGCUCCGGCUAACUACGUGCCAGCAGCCGCGGUAAUACGUAGGGAGCAAGCGUUAUCCGGAAUUAUUGGGUGUAAAGGGUGCGUAGACGGAAUUUAAGUUGGUUGUGAAAUCCCUCGGCUUAACUGAGGAACUGCA
RNAcentral lists this ribosomal RNA (633 nucleotides) under uncultured bacterium. Its description in RNAcentral is "bacterial SSU rRNA". It matches the Rfam family "Bacterial small subunit ribosomal RNA", at positions 8 to 625 of the family's 1533-position model. The record is from RNAcentral.